UACGUAGGGUGCAAGCGUUAAUCGGAAUUACUGGGCGUAAAGCGUGCGCAGGCGGUUUUGUAAGACAGGCGUGAAAUCCCCGGGCUCAACCUGGGAAUUGCGCUUGUGACUGCAAAGCUGGAGUGCGGCAGAGGGGGAUGGAAUUCCGCGUGUAGCAGUGAAAUGCAUAGAUAUGCGGAGGAACACCGAUGGCGAAGGCAAUCCCCUGGACCUGUACUGACGCUCAUGCACGAAAGCGUGGGGAGCAAACAGG
This 253-nucleotide ribosomal RNA is filed under the name uncultured bacterium. RNAcentral's name for it is "partial 16S ribosomal RNA". It matches the Rfam family "Bacterial small subunit ribosomal RNA", at positions 524 to 776 of the family's 1533-position model. The record is from RNAcentral.